Molecule: long non-coding RNA, 437 nt
Organism: Sinocyclocheilus rhinocerous
Lineage: Eukaryota; Metazoa; Chordata; Actinopteri; Cypriniformes; Cyprinidae
Exons: 3
Source: RefSeq, a predicted model, not a curated record
CUGUGCUUUUAGCUUUUAGCCCUCUCGUAGAAGAGUAUUUUAGUGAACUGUAGCUUAGUGUUUUUUCAAGAUCCACUGGUCAUCUUUAAGAGCUCUCUCUUACUGACCUGCCACAUUUACCUCUCCAUCUCAGCACUGAAAACUGUCCAAAACAUUACAAAGAAGAGUAUUUAUCAGAUUUAGUUUCGAAGUGUAUCUUUCACAAUUUGCAAAAUAUGUAUUUAUUCACAGUUUGCCAGAUUCCGCCUGAAGCCUUUUAUAUGUGAACAUUAACCCGAUUCUAGUGUGGGUUGGAUAUGAGGACAUACAGCCGUAGACAGCGACAGUGAGGCGAUGUUCACAACAUGGUGGCUAUCUUCAUGUGAAAACCAUUAGUGAAAUCUUUCCUCCACCUCCCCUCACUCUUGCUUGUGGCAUGAGUAAGGGAACUCAUCCCC